UGCCCUGUAGCUCAGUUGGCAGAGCACCCACCUGUUAAGCGGAGGGCCGCAGGUUCAAGCCCUGCUAGGGCAGCCA
RNAcentral lists this transfer RNA (76 nucleotides) under Desulfovibrio sp. OttesenSCG-928-A18. Its description in RNAcentral is "tRNA-Asn". It matches the Rfam family "tRNA". From Rfam's summary of the family: Transfer RNA (tRNA) molecules are approximately 80 nucleotides in length. Their secondary structure includes four short double-helical elements and three loops (D, anti-codon, and T loops). The record is from RNAcentral. Lineage: Bacteria; Pseudomonadati; Thermodesulfobacteriota; Desulfovibrionia; Desulfovibrionales; Desulfovibrionaceae.